Molecule: long non-coding RNA, 1572 nt
Organism: Eriocheir sinensis (Chinese mitten crab)
Lineage: Eukaryota; Metazoa; Arthropoda; Malacostraca; Decapoda; Varunidae
Exons: 4
Source: RefSeq, a predicted model, not a curated record
AAAGUGAUUCAAAGUUAAAGUUAUACAUUAUAAGCCAUGAACCUUACUAAUGGGCAUAUACUAGUUACGGUUGUGCAGUAGACUUAGAGAAACACUAAAUCUUUACUGCAUUAGGUAUUAUUCGUUAUCAUGACCUGAGAGAUCCCCAUGCAAUCGGAUAUAGGAUACAGGUGGAGGUCGCUGAUUGGCUGGGCAGGAUGGCAUGGGUAUUGGAGGCCGCUGAUUGGCUGAGAGGGAGGGCACCAACGUCCUUCCCUGCGGCCCUCGACCACUCUGCCCCGAGACACGGCCGAGGGAGGUCACGGCGCGUUGAGAUGUGUUAAAACUGGACUGACUGGACUAUUUUUGUUUGAAGUGCCGUAACAUGAGGGGUGGGCCCCUGGCUGGGCUGCUCCACCCCGCCCCGCAGGAGUCAGGUAGGCACAGCACAGGGUCGUGGCAGGACUGCCGGAAGUAUGUCAGUGUAACAAUUGGCAGAAACCCCACUGUUCCCCAGACCAGGCACUGUGCUGUGACUGCCAGGCUCCUGCCAUCACCCAUCAGCUGACCUACUGGCCACUUAGGAUGGGCCUCGGCGCCAGGGUGGCCAGUGUGGAGGCGCCCACCGGCCAUCUCUUCAGUUAUGGUAAGUACCAUGUACAGCUCAUCGCGGGACAGCGAGGGACAGCGCAGGAGCAACAGCAUCGGACAAGGAAAGUGAAACUUUGAUUUUGUCAGGGUUAGGAUGUUAGGAGGUAGGAUGCUAACCUUGAUUGCCUUUCAGAUGCUCAUAGAAGUUUUCAUUGGAAGUUUUUUUUUCAGGUGUUGAGUUCCAGAUAUUCCAUUCACAAGUCAAGUAUUUGGUAUAGGAUGAAAGUAUGAUGCCCAAUGGUCUAGUGGGCUAAUGUCAUACCAUGGAAGUGAAGAGCCAGAGCGAGUGUUUAAUGCUGCUAGACAUCAGGAACUUCGUCUCAAGCAACAAACCCUAAAACAGCAACCCCAUAUGAAAAUGGCUUAAGUAUGUCAAGAAAAGAAGAAAGACUAUGACAUCAGACUCUCCCCUUCUCCAUGAAGCUCUGCAUAUGAGUGAAAACUACCAGGAACUUCUGUGGAUCGACACGUUUUGAAAGGUUAGAAUUUACUGGCUACUUUCUCAGGUUUAAUGUUUGUUGCCUUUCAGACUGGGAUCUUGUGCCUUUAUGAAUGUUUCUAAGUCUUCAGUUUUUACUUUCUGGUUCCUCUAUUACUCUUUAAAUUCCUACUCACUAUACCCUAAAGUUACUCAUUAUCUGUCAUUCAUAAUUCUUCCUCUUCAGGUUCUUUCUUCUUGCACCCUCCUAUUCAUGUUCAUUAUUGCCCAUCAUGCAUUCCAUCUUUCAUGUUCUCGCUUGUUCUUUUGCUACUCCAAGGCAAGGCCUCUUUCUCAUCUCCAUCCUGACACGACCGCAACCACUCAAUAGUCACAGCAUCUUUUACACAGUUACCUGUUAUUGUUACGUAAUGGAGAGCAACCAUAAAUACUACUGAAAGCAUAACAUGUUAGAUGGGGUUUACAGAUGCUUGUUUGAAAAGAAAAUUGUAACUUUCUCUACA